ACAAAAAACUCUCGAACCCUAGCUAAUAACGACUCCCACUUUGACUUUGCAGCUCCUUCACCUUGGUCGACCUCAUUCUCCCUGACCUCGUUCUCCCCGACCUCGUUCUACAACCUGAGCUCGUUCUCCGACCCGACCUCGUCCUUCAACGACCCGAGCCACCUUGAGCUCCUUCACUGACCCAGAACCGCCUCGAGCUCCUUCAAUGACCUGACCACGAACUCAUUCUCCCACCUGAGCUCGUCAUUGUCCGACCUGAGCCGGCUCAAGGUAGUUCUCCGACCGCCACCAACGUAGUGGGGAGUUUGAAGGCUAGGACCUAUUAAUUUGGAAUCAAAGAAGUAAAAUCAAAAUGCCGUGAAACAGGAACUGUGUUGUUUGGUGGUGUUGCUCCGCGCCAUACCAUAAUACUAUUCACUCGGAAUCUCCCCAAGCUGCUAGAGUUAAAGUAUUGGCAAGUGGAAAUGCAACAGAAAGGCGAUUCAGUGUUUGGAUAGGUGGCAGUAUAUUGGCUUCUCUUGGUUCAUUCCAGCAGAUGUGGUUCUCCAAGGCUGACAUUUAACAGGUAUGAGGAGCAUGGGGCUUCUUAUGUACAAAGAAAAUGCCCUUGAUUUGUUGUCUUGGGAACAACUGCAAAUAGAAAAGGUCUCGAUUGUGCUCCAUCAAAUGGACAUUUUCCAAAAUUGUCAAAGCUUUGAGCCUGUAUCCAGUUAGAGACGGAUAGUGCUUUGAUUUUUAUUAACCGACUCUGAUAUACCGUAGCAUAUAUUAGCUUAUUGAUUAGGGAUUAAAGAUAUACAGAGCUGAGCUAAAUACUUUGGAGAGCUGAGAAUUGAUUAGGUAGAGUUGUGAGAAUAGAUGUUGGGGUAACCUGGCCUUAAAGAGAUACAGAGCUGAGCUAAAUACUUUGGGAAAGGCAGAAGAUGCCACUGAUCAUUGCCUUCUGCCAACUGUACUAAGUUUGCCAGGCAUAUGAUAAAAGGGAAAAGUAAAGAAGCUUUCGUUGCAUAGAUAUCAAGUACGUAAACAAGGUCAUAUAAAUAGUAAGGAGAGGUAAUUGCAACAGCAGUAGAACAAGUUCACCUCUUCCUCCUCGGAAACCAUAGGGCGUACCUAAACAACCGGGCGGAAUUGAGUGUGGCUAUUAUGUUAUGCAGUACAUGAAGAAUAUUAUUAAUGAUGACACACUUUCCUUUUCGAUCAAGUGGGCGGUAAAGACUCGGAAAGGAUAUACCCAACAACAACUUGAUGAGGUGCGCAUUGAGGUGGCCGACUACUUACAGACCUUAUUGUAGAUUCUGACUAGGAUGAGGAUUUUGAGAAAGGCUAGCUAGCUUUUGGUUCACUUUUUUUGUAGUAGAUGAAGUGAAUGCAGCAAUUAUGAACAAAAAUGCAAUAUAUAGUAAUUGUUAGGCUAGCCUUGUAGUAGGUUAAUUGGGGUUUUAUUUUGCCUAUUUUGUGAACUGUCAAUGAUGAUGAUUUUGGACAAAAUACCCCAAUAUCAAAUCACUUUUGUCAACUGUGGAUAUUGCAUUGUAUAGCAGCAGCUACA
Long non-coding RNA from Rosa rugosa (rugosa rose), 1552 nucleotides. RefSeq lists it as uncharacterized. The transcript is spliced from 10 exons. The record is from RefSeq and is a predicted model, not a curated record. NCBI's taxonomy places the organism in Eukaryota, Viridiplantae, Streptophyta, Magnoliopsida, Rosales, Rosaceae.